GUGCUCGCUUCAGCAAUACAUAUACUAAAAUUGGAAUGAUACAGAGAAGGUUGGCAUGACCUCUGUGCAAGAAUGACAGAAAUUCAUCAAACGUUCCAUUUUUAA
Molecule: small nuclear RNA, 105 nt
Organism: Cercocebus atys (sooty mangabey)
Lineage: Eukaryota; Metazoa; Chordata; Mammalia; Primates; Cercopithecidae
Source: Ensembl